UUUUUGAUACAAUUCCUCUCAUGUGCCAAGCAUUAAGAUCUUUUAAAAGGGUUUGUUACCGCACAUAAGAUAUGAGCAACACUUCUUCCUCUAAGAAAAUCAGUCUUGAAAAUUUAGGAUUUUACAGUCCAUUAACCUGCUAUUAAAGACCAAUGACAAGAUUUCUUUCUGAAAUGAACUUUGCAUUGUGUAAGAACUUAGCUACAACACCAGAAAAGAGGAAGAAAAAAAAAGGCCCAAACAAUAAAAUGAGGCCCACAACAUGAUUCUUAUCAAAGUCCAUGCUAUUAAAGAAAUGAAAUUGCAGCUGUACAAAGCUGUAGACAUCGAUUAUGUGUAAUGGUGCAGAACCAGGUUGCAUCAGCAUUGAAUUUCAGGCUGUUCACAUUCCAUUUUACCUGCAUUUGUGGAAAGUUGAGCCAGUGUCAACUCCCACUAAGGAUGCAGUUGAUCACAGCAUUACAAAAAGUCAGACUGACAGAUAAGAGGAAGCAAAAGGUUCUGGGUCAUGUCUCUGCUGGGUUUUAAUUCGUUCUCAUUAGGAACAAUAAUAUACCAAAGUGCUUGUUAAAUUCUAAAAUUGAAAAGUAUGCUUAUAUAUGGAAUAUGGUUACAUUGUUUGUUUAGGUAGAAGAAAGGCAAAUAAAGUAUUUUUUUUAUUAAUUUCAGUAAGAAAUGUCUGUCCAAAAAGAAUUCUUCUAGUGUUAGGUAACACAUUAUCUGGGGUAGGUGAACAUGGCAAGAUAAGCAUGCUAUCAGAGGAGGAUAUUUUGGAAGUGAUCCAGGCAGAACGUUGGGUUCAUACUACAGCUGGAACUGUCCAGCUAUUUCAGUGAAGACUCACUGCUUGAGAAUGUCAAUGGUGAAACUCUGUGUGCUGGCUGCAUGCUGAACCUUUGUCUCAGCGAGGGCGGACCAGGACUGCUAUCAGCCUUUCCUUUCUUCUGCCUUGUUAUUUUAAAAAUAAAUUUUACAUGUGGAGGCCA
Molecule: long non-coding RNA, 986 nt
Filed under: Numida meleagris (helmeted guineafowl)
Lineage: Eukaryota; Metazoa; Chordata; Aves; Galliformes; Numididae
Description: lncRNA (ENSNMEG00000009021.1)
Source: RNAcentral